AGAGGAGAGAGGAGAGGUGUCUUUGUUUUUGGUCGUUUGGUUUCUUCUCUCUCUCUCUCUCCUGCGCCAAACCCGAUCUCCGGCCAUUUCCUUCCCAUAUUCACUCAUCUUCUCCGUCUCCAUCUCCUCUUACAAGUCAAUUCCGUAUACGUACCUAAACCCCAUGAACCGAUUUGUCUCUCUGGUCUUAUCGGAACCGGUUUGGUGGCUGCAACAUUCAUAGCGGCAGGACCAGAUAGUACUGCUAUGGCGGCGGUUGAUUCUCUUCAGCUAACCGAACCCGCUAACGCAUUGUCUCUACCCACUUGGGCUGUUAAUGUUUCCAGUGUUGUCGAAUGGAUUACGGUGAUGGCGUUGGUAUGGAAAUAUGGAGAAAGAAAGGGUUAUGUGUCAUGGAAAGGUCUCUCAUGAGGAAUGGUUGACAUUAGAAGAGAGUUUUGUUGAAUCUAAGAAGCAUAUAUGUCUUUGCAGAGAGAUGUACGUAUGGGGAGAGGAUUCUAGGAUCAAGCUCUGAGUAUGUGCAGAGCAAUAUUACUCGUUACUUAUCUGAUCCUCAAUACUAUUUCCAAGUGAAUGAUCAGUAACAAACUCAAGGUUGUUCUGUUUCCUUUCCUUCACCGGGCGAGCUUGUCUUCUCUUGUCUCUUUCUGUUUGAGACUUUCUCAGACCAGCCAUUAAGUAAAACUAGUUCGUGUUUUGCUUCAAACGAUCAGGGACACUGGGCUAGAAUCUCUGAACCAGUUGGGGGUAGGCUCUCAUACAAGCCUCCCAUAUAUGAUAUCAAUGCGUCAGACUUGUAAAUUCCCUUUAUGGCAUUUGGUACAUACGUUGUUCUUGCUGGUCUUUCACUGGGACUUAAUGGAAAGGGAUCUCAAAAUACAAGGCUUACAAGUUCUAAGCAGUGUGGUUGAUCUGAAACAGUCUGUUCAUGAAAUGCAAGUGCCCAUCACCUGUGAGGAAGAAACACUUUGGAUCAAGAUACUGUGAGGUAGAUUAUAGCUUGAUGAAGAUUUUGUAUUCAGUUCACUAACUACACACACAUUAGUAUGAG
Brassica oleracea var. oleracea is the source of this 1051-nucleotide long non-coding RNA. RefSeq lists it as uncharacterized. The record is from RefSeq and is a predicted model, not a curated record. Lineage: Eukaryota; Viridiplantae; Streptophyta; Magnoliopsida; Brassicales; Brassicaceae. The transcript is spliced from 5 exons.